Molecule: ribosomal RNA, 510 nt
Filed under: uncultured bacterium
Lineage: Bacteria
Description: partial 16S ribosomal RNA
Rfam family: Bacterial small subunit ribosomal RNA
Source: RNAcentral
GACGAACGCUGGCGGCGUGCUUAACACAUGCAAGUCGAACGAAGAGCGAUGGAAGCUUGCUUCUAUCAAUCUUAGUGGCGAACGGGUGAGUAACGCGUAAUCAACCUGCCCUUCAGAGGGGGACAACAGUUGGAAACGACUGCUAAUACCGCAUACGAUCUAAUCUCGGCAUCGAGGAUAGAUGAAAGGUGGCCUCUACAUGUAAGCUAUCACUGAAGGAGGGGAUUGCGUCUGAUUAGCUAGUUGGAGGGGUAACGGCCCACCAAGGCGAUGAUCAGUAGCCGGUCUGAGAGGAUGAACGGCCACAUUGGGACCGAGACACGGCCCAGACUCCUACGGGAGGCAGCAGUGGGGAAUCUUCCGCAAUGGACGAAAGUCUGACGGAGCAACGCCGCGUGAGUGAUGACGGCCUUCGGGUUGUAAAGCUCUGUUAAUCGGGACGAAAGGCCUUCUUGCGAAUAGUGAGAAGGAUUGACGGUACCGGAAUAGAAAGCCACGGCUAACUACGUG